GCUGACGUCACUACCCUGGCUUGGAGAGGCUGUUGCUGAGCCGGCUCCAACCGGCUGGAAGGCGGGAAGCUGUUUCGCCUGGAGGCUCGCGCGCUUUUUGGAAUUCAGUUAUCAAGCUUUAGAGCCUGGCUACUCACAGUUGAAGCCUGAUUGCAGGUCAGCAAUGCUAAACGUUAAAUGCCUCUUAUAUUUAGGGGAUAAGGACUCCGUGGAGGUUUUCUCUGGUCCCAGCUCCUGCUUUUUACUUUUCUUGGGGGUGGGAGGGAUAGAUCAAGCCCCCAUUAAUUUUUACUGCCACCGUCGACUCUUGUGUAGAAAGCUUUGAAGUCUGAGACCUGGGUUUUCAGCUCAACAUCUCAGCUUGGUUCCUUGACUGCAAAGUAGGUAUAAUUGUUUGUAGCCCAG
This 405-nucleotide long non-coding RNA is filed under the name Homo sapiens (human). RNAcentral's name for it is "non-protein coding CSTF3-DT:13". The record is from RNAcentral. Lineage: Eukaryota; Metazoa; Chordata; Mammalia; Primates; Hominidae.